GGCAACAAGAUGGCGGCUGCGGGGCCGGCUCCGCGGCGCGUGGGCUUCGUGGGCGCGGGCCGCAUGGCGGGGGCCAUCGCGCAGGGCCUCAUCAGAGCAGGAAAAGUGGAAGCUCAGCACAUACUGGCCAGUGCACCAACAGACAGGAACCUAUGUCACUUUCAAGCUCUGGGUUGCCGGACCACGCACUCCAACCAGGAGGUGCUGCAGAGCUGCCUGCUCGUCAUCUUUGCCACCAAGCCCCAUGUCCUGCCAGCUGUCCUGGCAGAGGUGGCUCCUGUGGUCACCACUGAACACAUCUUGGUGUCCGUGGCUGCUGGGGUGUCUCUGAGCACCCUGGAGGAGGUGAGUGUCCCUUGGGCUAAGGCCUUGGUCCCAGUAUAGGCUCUGCUGGCGAGGCUUGGGCGGCAGGCAGCCCCCCAGAGGGCCUGAGAGGUGGCCGGGUGGCGCACCUGGAUCAAGUGGCUGGAUUUAGGGUUCCCUCCUGGUGCUGUACCUGGGAGGCAGACGCUGGAGCCCACCACGAACUGACGUGGACCUUUCCUGAGGCCCCUGCUGGGGCCUGCCCAGCAGGGCCCAGUCCUACAGACUCCCUGAUUCUGACCUCUCUCCGGCCAGCUGCUGCCCCCAAACACACGGGUGCUGCGGGUCUUGCCCAACCUGCCCUGUGUGGUCCAGGAAGGGGCCAUAGUGAUGGCGCGGGGCCGCCACGUGGGGAGCAGCGAGACCAAGCUCCUGCAGCAUCUGCUGGAGGCCUGUGGGCGGUGUGAGGAGGUGCCUGAAGCCUACGUCGACAUCCACACUGGCCUCAGUGGCAGUGGCGUGGCCUU
This 830-nucleotide small RNA is filed under the name Pongo abelii (Sumatran orangutan). Its description in RNAcentral is "retained intron". The record is from RNAcentral. Lineage: Eukaryota; Metazoa; Chordata; Mammalia; Primates; Hominidae.